Molecule: long non-coding RNA, 1182 nt
Filed under: Calidris pygmaea (Spoon-billed sandpiper)
Lineage: Eukaryota; Metazoa; Chordata; Aves; Charadriiformes; Scolopacidae
Description: lncRNA (ENSCPGG00000014792.1)
Source: RNAcentral
GUGUCCCCCCCUCCCCAUCUCCCAGGGCAUCGCGGGGACGGACGUGGCCAAGGAGGCCUCGGACAUCAUCCUGACGGACGACAACUUCUCCAGCAUCGUGGCCGCCGUCAUGUGGGGCCGCAACGUCUACGACAGCAUCGCCAAGUUCCUCCAGUUCCAGCUCACCGUCAACGUGGUGGCCGUCGUGGUGGCCUUCACCGGCGCCUGCAUCACCCAGGUGGGGCGCCGCCCGCCCCGCCCCACACGUGCGGGAGAGGUCCUACAGCCCAUGGGAGAUGUUGGGAGAGGUUCCUCACCCCAUGGGAGAUGUUGGGAGAGGUUCCUCACCCCAUGGGAGAUGUUUUACAUCCAUGGGAGAUGUUGGGAGAGGUCCUACAACCCAUAGGAGAUGUUGGGAGAGGUCCCUCACCCCAUGGGAGAUGUUCUACACCCUGUAGGAGAUGGUGGGAGAGGUCCCUCACCCCAUGGGAGAUGUCCUACGCCCCAUGGGAGACGUUGGGCGGUGUCCCUCCCCCCAUGGCCACGUCCCCAAGGCGUGUCCCCCAACCUCGCCCCCGCAGGACUCCCCCCUGAAGGCCGUGCAGAUGCUGUGGGUCAACCUCAUCAUGGACACCUUGGCCUCCCUGGCGCUGGCCACCGAGCCCCCCACGGAGGCCCUGCUGCUGCGCAAGCCCUACGGCCGCGACCAGCCCCUCAUCUCCCGCACCAUGCUGAGGAACAUCCUGGGCCACGCCGCCUACCAGCUCCUCGUCAUCUUCACCCUCCUCUUCGUCGGGGAGCUGCUGCUGGACAUCGACAGCGGGCGGCAGGCCCCCCUGCACGCCCCCCCCUCCGAGCACUACACCAUCAUCUUCAACACCUUCGUCAUGAUGCAGAUCUUCAACGAGGUCAACGCCCGCAAGGUCCACGGCGAGAGGAACGUCUUCCAGGGCGUCUUCGCCAACCCCGUCUUCUGCACCAUCGUCCUCGGCACCUUCGCCGUCCAGGUGGGGACCCCAAAAACCAGGGGGGACACCCCAAAACCAUGGGGGGGGGGCACCCCAACCCAUGGGGGGGGCACCCAACUUGUGGUGGGACCCAUGGGGACGUCUUGAUGUGGGGAGAACAUGGAGACCUUGUUGUCCCCUCCAUUGUCCCAGGGGGCUUGGCCACCUGGGGGGGAGACGGGGGGCACCCCGACAU